Molecule: long non-coding RNA, 1526 nt
Filed under: Canis lupus familiaris (dog)
Lineage: Eukaryota; Metazoa; Chordata; Mammalia; Carnivora; Canidae
Description: lncRNA (ENSCAFG00030016470.1)
Source: RNAcentral
UGGCCAAAAUUAUUAUGGCUUCCUCUUAUAGAAUAUAUUAUUUGGCAAAAUGCAAGUUCCUUGGGGACCAGGAAUUUUGAAACGUUCAUCAGGAUGUCCUCUGGGGCUCGUAGAAAGUUGUUUGCUCGGUGCUCCAGGGAAUGGGUAACCAGCAGAAGCAGCGAACAACCACAGCUGAAAAACAGGGCGUUUUCAGGAUACAGACUGGCUGGGAUCAGAAGCGGAACUGCUUAUCGAGAAGCCAUCUCUUCCCCAACUUGUGACUUUAAGGAUGAGUGGGCAUUUUUGCAAAGAAUCCACCCCAGCAGGGCUUGCCCCAAGUGGAGAGAAGCAGACUGCCUGGGGCACACCUGUUGCUGGAGCUCAUCUGACAUGUGGACACAGGAGCUUGCAGUGGUGUUCACAGGACCGAUGCACUGACUAUGGUCUCCGGGAAAUGCCAAUGGUGAAGUUAAGUAUAUCUUGAGAUUUAGUGUUCAUUUUAAAGAAAACACCCAAUGUACUGGCAUGAAGUGCAGAUUACUAACAGAAAAGAAGCAGCACAGUUCUGCUAUGUAUGUGUAAGGAAGGGAAGGGGUUAAUCCCAAAGGCAAUUUAAAUAAUGGUAUUUUAUUUUUUUAUAUAUAAACAAAUGUUCUGAGAAAUCUCAGACUUUAGUGCAUUGUUGUAAAAAAAUAGUAAAAUAUGUAAAAAUUCCUGGGGCUGGGUCACUCUGGGGCCCUGGGUCUGGGCUUCAGUUCCAGAAAAGCAGCCUGGCGAGACGGUCAAUUCUGCUGACAGGCACAGUAUUGUUUCCACUGUGUGGUAUGAGAAUGGGCUAUUGGAAUGGUGCUGACACGCUGAUAUUGACGUUCUCACUCACUUGGACACAGGAAGAGUUCAGGCUCCUGGGCUUCCUGUAAGCCACGGCCAACCCUUGAGUUUGAGCUGCAUGUGUGGUCUCCUGCAUCCUCGGUCGCCAUCAUGGUCCACCGAGGUGCUGCUCCUAGUCUACAACAAGCAGGUAUCAUUUACCCUGUGCCUUCCCCUUCCCCACUACCUACACUUCAUCCCUCUGCAGGCUCUGCACCACAUGUAAUACAGUCCUCAGGAGCGGCCCCACCUACGUCCUCCAGGGGCUUUCUAUGCCAUUGCUCUGCAACAUCAAAGGGCCUUCCAUUUACUUCCUCUCUUGCCUCCAGUUGACGUGAUGACUCUGUGCUCUCCCAGACUUAGCCACAUCAAAUGAGGGUCAGGGUCACUUGCAUGAAUAGAAUCACUGUUCUUGCUCUACCUACGGAUCCCUCCCCUAUCCUCCGCACUGGUGAUGGUGGGUAGAAACCAGGGGUGCAAUCAACAGUGAAAAAGAUCACAUUUUAGGAAUGUUGUGAUUAUAGCCUUGAGAGUUCCAGAGAAGAUAUAGUUGGAAAAUGUGUUGCUCUAUAUUUAGGCCAUAAAAUUCCAAAUGAUAAAUUUAACAUGCCCAUAAAAUAAAUUAUUGUCCAUGUUUUCCUGCACACUGUGUGCAUUUGUGGUCAUCUUCAAAG